UUAGUAGGAGUAAAGUCGUAACAAGGUUUCCGUAGGUGAACCUGCGAAGGAUCAUUACAAAUCAGUUUGGUGUGGGGUGUGUGGUGAAAGUGUGGUAGCAAUACCUUUACUCUAUACCACUCACUCUACUAGCACCAAUAUUUACGCUUGUUGUGUUUGACAGAGUAAUUUUGAUAUUAAAAAUAGACAACUUUUAACAACGGAUCUCUGGGCUCUUGCAACGAUGAAGAACGCAGCCAAGUGCGAUAUUUAAUGCGAUUUGCAUGAAUCUGUGAGUCAUCGAGUCUUUGAACGCAACUUGCGCCACUUGUGGCAUGUCUGUUUGAGUACCGUAUAACAACUGCAGCAAUGCGAUUUGACCAUUCCGGUUGGGUGGUUUAAAUGAGUGUUUAUAUACAGAGUGGGUCUGUAAAGCUAGAGACGCAAGUCUUGUUUACAUCCCCCUCUACUACUCCAUGGUCUCAAAUCAGGCAAGAUUACCCGCUGAACUUAA
Molecule: ribosomal RNA, 493 nt
Filed under: uncultured fungus
Lineage: Eukaryota; Fungi
Description: eukaryotic LSU rRNA
Rfam family: 5.8S ribosomal RNA (bases 189-332)
Source: RNAcentral